Molecule: ribosomal RNA, 426 nt
Filed under: uncultured bacterium
Lineage: Bacteria
Description: bacterial SSU rRNA
Rfam family: Bacterial small subunit ribosomal RNA
Source: RNAcentral
GAAUUUUCCGCAAUGGGCGAAAGCCUGACGGAGUGACGCCGCGUGGGGGACGAAGGCCUUCGGGUCGUAAACCCCUGUCAGAGGGAAAGAAGGGUGUCGGCGCGAUAACCGCCGGCACCUGACGGUACCUUCAGAGGAAGCCCCGGCCCACUCCGUGCCAGCCGCCGCGGGAAGACAGAGGGGGCAAGCGUUGAUCGGAAUCACUGGGCGUAAAGGGCGCGUAGGCGGGAGGGCAAGUCAGUCGUGAAAUCCUUCGGCUCAACCGAAGAACGUCGGCUGAUACUGCCUUUCUUGAGGGAUGCAGAGGAGACUGGAAUUCCCGGUGUAGCGGUGAAAUGUGUAGAGAUCGGGAGGAACACCGGUGGCGAAGGCGGGUCUCUGGGCAUCUCCUGACGCUGAGGCGCGAAAGCGUGGGGAGCAAACGGG